Molecule: ribosomal RNA, 484 nt
Filed under: uncultured bacterium
Lineage: Bacteria
Description: partial 16S ribosomal RNA
Rfam family: Bacterial small subunit ribosomal RNA
Source: RNAcentral
AUUGAACGCUGGCGGCAGGCCUAACACAUGCAAGUCGAGCGGAUGAAGGGAGCUUGCUCCUGGAUUCAGCGGCGGACGGGUGAGAAAUGCCUAGGAAUCUGCCUGGUAGUGGGGGAUAACGUCCGGAAACGGGCGCUAAUACCGCAUACGUCCUGAGGGAGAAAGUGGGGGAUCUUCGGACCUCACGCUAUCAGAUGAGCCUAGGUCGGAUUAGCUAGUUGGUGGGGUAAAGGCCUACCAAGGCGACGAUCCGUAACUGGUCUGAGAGGAUGAUCAGUCACACUGGAACUGAGACACGGUCCAGACUCCUACGGGAGGCAGCAGUGUGGAAUAUUGGACAAUGGGCGAAAGCCUGAUCCAGCCAUGCCGCGUGUGUGAAGAAGGUCUUCGGAUUGUAAAGCACUUUAUGUUGGGAGGAAGGGCAGUAAGUUAAUACCUUGCUGUUUUGACGUUACCAACAGAAUAAGCACCGGCUAACUUCGUG